This 646-nucleotide long non-coding RNA is filed under the name Ficedula albicollis (Collared flycatcher). RNAcentral describes it as "lncRNA (ENSFALG00000023617.1)". Lineage: Eukaryota; Metazoa; Chordata; Aves; Passeriformes; Muscicapidae. The record is from RNAcentral.
GCCAAACUCUCUCUGGUAGGAGCAGUCCUGAUACCCACUGGUGAGUGCCAGGGAAGGAUGGGAGCCCCUCUCAGCACCCCGAUACAUUUACUAAGAACAGGCUUGUUUUAUGGGAGUAAAAAUGCUCUGACUGCAGUGUCUGCCCUUGCAGGUUUCCAGAGACAGAAAAAUGUUUCAGAAGGAUUUUCUUCCUCCCAAAACAACAGGACAGCAGAGCUUGACAGCCCCCAAACAUGCAGAGAUGGUGCCCAUGGCCGGUCUGUUCGUGCAGCCACUUUCACUGGCAGAUGAUCUUUCAACAGCUGCUGUGGUUGCCUCUCUGUCCACACAACAGAAAAAUACAAUACAGAAACCUUCUACUUUGACAUUUCCAUCAGGAAUUAACUUCCCUGUAUGCCUGCCCUUUGCUAACUUCCCACUUGUGUUGAGUUUGCUUCAAAGAGUAAACAGGGAGCCGUUCCCAGAAGCACAAGCUCUCUUCAUGAAAUCCACUCUACAAGCUAAAGAGUCUUUGACAACACAGGUGGCAAGGAGGUGGGGAAAAAAGCUUCUUUGCAAGGGUCAUAUUGAUUUUUUAAUAGAAAAGAAACAGAGACAUUGUUGCACUCAAAUUUCUCCAGAGGGCAGGACGCCGGUCUGGAGUUGA